Tupaia belangeri (northern tree shrew) is the source of this 136-nucleotide small nuclear RNA. Its record names the gene U4. It matches the Rfam family "U4 spliceosomal RNA". Rfam says of the family: U4 small nuclear RNA (U4 snRNA) is a component of the major U2-dependent spliceosome. Lineage: Eukaryota; Metazoa; Chordata; Mammalia; Scandentia; Tupaiidae. The record is from Ensembl.
AACUUUGCGCAGUGGCAGUAUCGUAGCCAAUGAGGUUUAUCCGAGGCACGAUUAUUGCUAAUUGAAAAAAACUAGAGGUUAAAACUCAUAUACCAUGUACUUACAAAUGUUUUAUAAUUAGAAGUGUCCAGAGUUA